CUUAGUAAGUUUCCAUACCAAGGCUCAAUCCAAUUAAGUC
RNAcentral lists this transfer RNA (40 nucleotides) under Cuscuta cuspidata. Its description in RNAcentral is "partial tRNA-Phe". Lineage: Eukaryota; Viridiplantae; Streptophyta; Magnoliopsida; Solanales; Convolvulaceae. The record is from RNAcentral.